AACCCCCUGAAAUCCUAUCGAACUUGCCGGAACGGAGGAUAUUCAGGGGGUCGUAAAGCAGGCGCUGGCCUGGUAAGGAUUAUAGCAAAUGUAUAAUCACAUACAACCCCUUU
RNAcentral lists this non-coding RNA (113 nucleotides) under insect gut metagenome. RNAcentral describes it as "Pseudoknot of the regulatory region of the repBA gene". It matches the Rfam family "Pseudoknot of the regulatory region of the repBA gene". The record is from RNAcentral.